Molecule: ribosomal RNA, 497 nt
Filed under: uncultured bacterium
Lineage: Bacteria
Description: partial 16S ribosomal RNA
Rfam family: Bacterial small subunit ribosomal RNA
Source: RNAcentral
GAUGAACGCUGGCGGCGUGCCUAAUACAUGCAAGUCGAGCGAAAAGACGCGGAGCUUGCUCCUCUGACGUUAGCGGCGGACGGGUGAGUCACGCGUGUAUCCCCUACCUGUAAGUCUGGGAUCACUUGGGGAAACCGGAGCUAAUACCGGAUAAUAUAUUGAACCGCGUGGUUCAAUAGUGAAAGACGGUUUUUGUGUCAGUUAUAGCUGGUUACGGGCCGCAUUAGCUAGUUGGUGAGGUCCCGGCUUACCACGGCAACGAGGCGUAUCCGACCUGAGAGAGUGAUCGGCCACACGGGAACUGAGACAGGGACCAGACUCCUACGGGAGGCAGCAGUAGGGAAUCUUCCGCAAUGGGCGAAAGCCUGACGGAGCAACGCCGCGUGAGUGAUGAAGGUCUUCGGAUCGUAAAACUCUGUUAUGAGGGAAGAACAAAUGUGGAAGUAACUAUGCACGUCGUGACGGUACCGAAUCAGAAAGCCACGGCUAACUACGUG